Molecule: ribosomal RNA, 253 nt
Filed under: uncultured bacterium
Lineage: Bacteria
Description: partial 16S ribosomal RNA
Rfam family: Bacterial small subunit ribosomal RNA
Source: RNAcentral
UACGGGGGGGGCAAGCGUUGUUCGGAAUUACUGGGCGUAAAGGGCGCGUAGGCGGCCUGCUAAGUCGGAUGUGAAAUCCCUCGGCUCAACCGAGGAACUGCAUCCGAUACUGGCGGGCUUGAAUCCAGGAGAGGGAUGUGGAAUUCCAGGUGUAGCGGUGAAAUGCGUAGAUAUCUGGAGGAACACCGGUGGCGAAGGCGGCAUCCUGGACCGGUAUUGACGCUGAGGCGCGAAAGCUAGGGGAGCAAACGGG